UGAUUAAACUUGUGUUAUUAUAUCCUGCUCAUUAUUUUGUGUUGACAUUCUCACUUGUCUUGAAUACUUAGUAAUCUUCAUUAUGUUAAUUAGUUAGUUCAAUUCACUUUCAAUUAUUUCAACCAGCAACUUGCCAAUUCAUAGUUUCACAAUUUUUGUCUUACUUAUACAGUCUCUGUGAAGAUGAUAACUCUACACUUACUACUUUAUUACUUUUUGACGAAACUGUACACUUGGACAUUAUUCGAUAAUCUCGCG
RNAcentral lists this long non-coding RNA (258 nucleotides) under Gossypium barbadense (sea-island cotton). RNAcentral's name for it is "long non-coding RNA (GBAR_LNC018522)". Lineage: Eukaryota; Viridiplantae; Streptophyta; Magnoliopsida; Malvales; Malvaceae. The record is from RNAcentral.